AACAAUAAAAUAAACGAAGUGGAAAUAAAGUGGUCCGUUGGCUUUGUUAGGACCUUCAUACUCCCCAGAUUGCAACCCAGUUGAUCAGAGGGGAGCCUCUUCUCACUCUUCCAAAAUUUCACCCUUCUGUUUCCUUUUUCCUCUCAAAAGAUCUAUUGCCAUUCCUCGGAGUGGACCCUUUUGGCCAUUUCUUGAGUCAGUUAGCCUCGUUGGCUGUCCGAUCUUCUCUCCUCCUCCAUUUUUCCCACGGCGAACUCCGGCACUUCCCCUACCAGGUAAGCUUGCUCCCUUAAUUUUAAUCCUCCCAUCGCUAAAACAUGCGCUUGGUCGUUCCUCUCCCUUGUGUGGGAGAACAAACGGGUUGGAAAUCAUCUUUUAACGAUUUUACAUUUUCAAUGAAAGCACUUAUAUAUAAUAGGCUAUAUUUUGUUUUCUUUAAUUUUUGCAGUUAUAUUUUGAAAUUGUAUAAUUUGCCAUUCAAUUAUUAGUGUGAUUGAAUUUUACCACUAAACUUUAAUUUUUUUUAAAAGAAUUUCCAUAAACUUUGAUUUUUAGUUAAAAAUUUAGCACUUAAUAUUAAUUUUGAUGAAAAAAAAUUGAACUUUAACUACUAAUCAAAAGUUACUUAAAGUUCAUACUUUUAUGUAUUAUAGAUAGAUAAGUCAUAAAUAUUUAAUUUAAUCAAGUUACAUAUUCAACUUUAACUACUAAUAAAUUAAGCCAUUUAUACUAACAUUGUAACACUCUCGACUCGAUUUGAUUGGUUGGAUCCAGAUCUUAGGUAUUAUCAAGUUAAUACAAAUAAAAACUCAAUCUACUUUUACAAAUUACGAUCACUUACGUCUUACUUAAUCACAAAAUUUCUAAUUUGAAUAGAUAAACAUGUACAAGUAAAUAUAAUUACAUCACGUGGUAAUUAAAAUACAACAAUAUUUAAUUUGAAACUCUAAUACAAUACAGAUGCCCCAAAUAGGGACUUCUAAGUAAUAAUUCAGUCUUGGAAUACAUCGCCAAUCUUGCUCUGUAUACACAAUAACCUGAUAUUUCACUUUUAGGGAUAGUCCUAACAUCGUCCCUCUUGACGUAGACUUACGUCAUCUCACUUAUAACAUAAUACAUACAGAUAAGUUUAUAAGAAUUUAGUAAGGAAAAUAUAAUUUACAUGAGUCAUAUUUGCACAUUGCAAUUGAUAGUUUAGAUAGAUGAUACCAUCGUCCUUAAACAUUCAACUUUGUCUCUGAUGAAUACUUCCUCAAGUUUUGUUUCCAUAUUCACAUCAGAUAUCAUACCUUACUUUGAAAUCACUUCUUCUUAUCGAAGUAUUCAAUACAUCAUUUACUUCUUUCAAUCAAAACAAUCAUAAAUCUUUAUCCAUUUUCUUUUCAGAGAUCAAUACAAUCAGUAACAACAUUACGCUUGCAAACUUACUUCUGAGCCAUCAAAUCAUCACAAUUCAAAAGAAUGUGUGCACAGACGAUAGAUACCUCCUUCAAACAUACAAAUUUUACAGUCUUAUUUUUAGACGAGUCAUAGCCUUAUAUAACUCGUUUUUACUGUACUAACCAUAUAGACAUAAAACCUUUCUAAUCUUACUGAUUUCACUUAAGAGUCAUGUUGAAUGCGCCUAAUCGAUUUAUUAUAGAACCUGCCACAAGAACAUUCUUUCCGAUAUGUCACCAAGGACUUUAUUUUGACGUAUCAUAUGGACAUUUCUUUCAGAGUUCGUCAUGAAUGAUACUUUUUCAUAUUGCGCUACGAAGGCGCUCCUUUAGGGUUUGCCAUAAGGGUAUUUUCUUCCUAAUGUGUUUGUGAUAUGAAUUUGCCUAGACUCACAUUUCGUGAGAUUUGCUUGUCAUUAUCCUAAGACAUGCAGAAAAAAUCCAUUAGGCUAUAGCCAUGACCAUGGACUUUCCAUUCAGGGUUCUUAUUUAAAGUCCCGGCGAACCCUUUUGAACAUCACCGCGAUGAACAGACAUAAACUCUUCAUGCCCUUAUACAAUUUAAACCUAACCUUUUAUUCCACCAACAUAUAACCACAUACAUUCCCGACUCAUAAUACAAAUUCUAGGCAUACAUAUAACCAUACCUCAGCAUUACAUUAUUUAAUCACCAUUCAUCAUAUGCUUGAACUUAUCAUAUUCCAUACCAAUUAUACAUGCCAUCCUCAAUGAACAAUCAUACAUUCAUAGAUCUCAUUUAGUAAUUACUCAUAUAGUUACAUACAUAUCAUAUCGUACCUUUCGUGAUCUCGGCUUCAUAUUUCAUUUAGUAUGCCACAGAUCUAUUUGCAUGAAUAGUACAUAUGCAAAAGUCAGCAAAGAGGCUCACCUGACAAUCUCACAUAGCAGCUUAAAUUCUAGAUCCAACAAGAGAUUACAAUAACCACUACUUAUAAAACAAAAGAACACCAUUAAAACUCGUUUUAACCUCUACCGUCAUCUUAAACCUAGAUAACCCACAUAUAAAGCCUUACUUCUUUAUUUAACUAUUCAUGCACUUAUUCAAACUUAAUCUUUCAUAACUUUAACAUGUAGAGUUACAAUAUUUACCUUGACAUGUAGUAGUCACUAACAAAAAUCUAGAUUUACAACUCCAAUUUAUAGGAGAAAAAAAUACUUUCUGGUUUCUCCAGUAUCAGAUAACAAUACUUUAGAAGAAAGAAGGAAAAUUUUUUCUUUCUCUACCCUUAAUAUCGACAUAUUUAACCUAAGUCCUUAUUGGAACUUGACAUGUGUCACAACUCGUAAGAUUGUUUUUAUAAAUGGCUUACAGUUGUAGAGAGAACCUAAAUAAAAAUCCAAUAAAUUAUAUAUUUGGUUCUUCGGUUCUAUCCAUUUCUAUCCAAAUGGUUUUUAACGUAACUGGCACAGUAACUCAAUGAACUUGGCAUAUAAUACCUUCGACAAUAACUCCAACUUACAAAAUUCUCAAUACUCUUACCAAACUCCCUUUCCUUACAGCACAACACAUUCUAAGUUCGAUCCGUAUAUAAUAUUCCAAUAUCUGCUAUGCACUCAAAUUGUACACCAAAACAAUAAUUGGGCAGAUAGGCUACGCCUCACAAAUUACUCUCAGUCUACUCGCCAGAACUUAAAACCCAUCAAAACUAGGUGUUACAAACGCCGUCGAGUUAUUUUAAUGGAAAAAUUGAGUUAUCACUUCUAUUUAGCAAUUUUUUUCAAAUAAGCAAAUAAUAUAUAUUGUUAUUUUAAAUAAAUUUGUCUAAGCUUUUUUCCAAACAUAAAUUACUAGAGAAAUAAAAUUUAGUUUUGCAAUUCUGUAAGAAUGAAACCUUAAUCAAUUGAAUCAAUUUUUUUGAAUUUUUUUCUCAUUCUUCAUCAUUCAUUUUCAACCAUUAAAGAUUUGCAAUUGUUCCUUUAAACUUUCAUAAUCGAUCAUGGAGGUUUUUAUUCCUUGAUAUAGAGGUAGGGAUCAACAUUGAAAAGUCCUCGAGUUGCAGAUUUGACGUAGGGCUUUAGACUAAAUUGAAGGGAAUUGGCAUGUAAGCAACCUAAAACACAUAAGAAAUGUAACAACUCGAUAGGCAGGGGUGUUGAAAAGUGUAUAUCCGGGACUCUGUUCAUGUAAACCAGACUCGAAGUUAAUUAUUUAGUUAAUUAAAUUUUGGAUAGAUAAUUUACAUGAAUUAGGAGCUAUUAUGGUUUAAGGACUAAAUUGCGUAAAAGUAAAAAAUUCAAUUAUAAAUUGAAAUAAACUAAAGGGGCUAAAGUAAUAAUUAUGUAAUUUAAUAAAUGGUUGUGUAUAGGUGCCCGGUCAAGGGUUAAGUGUAAUGUGCUUUUAUAUAUUAUAUAUAUGUUAUAUAUUAAGUUAGAAUAAUAAUAGUAAUAAAUAAAAUGAAAACAAAAUUAAAAGAAAAAAGUGAAGUAGAAUGAGAGAGCACAUGCAAAUUAAAAGAAAAGAAAAGAAAGAACCAAAAGAGGCCGACGAUACUAAGGGCUUCAAACUUUCAAAUUUUAAUUGGUUAGUCAAUUUAGCCCCAUUUUCUUAUAAUUUUCAUAUUUUUGGAAUCACAGUACCUAGGUUCUAAUUUUUAGUAUUGUUUAAGAUUUUAGAUGUUGCUAUUGUUGAAUAGUUUAAGUAUUAGGAAUUAAAUAGAUAGAUUUUUAAGCUAGAAGUGGAAAAUGACUAAAUUGUGAAAUUAAUAGUUGAUUUUGAGUAAUAGGGACUAAAUUGAGAAAAUUUUGAAAUUGAAGGGUUGAAUUAGAAAAUGAGCUAAAUUUAGUUUAAAGUGAAAUUAGUAUAAAAAUAUAAAGUUAAAUGUGAAGGUUAAAAAUUAGUCUCGAUUUAGGGACUAAAUUGAAGUUUAAGCAAAUAAAGUGUAAAAUUUUAAUUUUAAUGUAAAAUUAAAUUAUGUAAUAUUAAUAUAUUUUAAUUGUUUUAUUCCGUAGCUAACGUCGUACCGGAAUCCUUGAGUAAAAAGGAGAAGGAUAAAAUUGACGUCGAAUAGCUCAGAAUUUACGGUUUGUGUGUUCUAUAAUCCUAAUUAAAUAACAGAUUGUUGUAUAAUUAAUUGUUUGCAUAUGGUAAGCAUUUGUGGUGGGUACUUUGGUACUUUUGGAUUAAAUUGAAUUCAUAGUAAAUUUGAAAGGGAUUCAUUUUGUGUAUUAUGAAAUAUGUUGAUUAUAUGAAUAUUGAAUUGACUAUAUGUGAUAGUGUAUAUAUGUGAAACUGAGACAUUAGUUGUAUUGAAAAGUGAAAUAAAACUCUAUUAACUGUAUCGGGCUGAGUUGGAUAUAGAUGGCAUGCCAUAGGAUAGGAAGAGUUCAAGGAUUUCUCUUAAGUCGAUGAGGCACUGGGUGCCAAUUUACUUUGGUUUAACUGAUGAGACAUUGGAUGUCAAUUUAUAUAGCACUGGGUACAGUUAUUAUUUUGGAAUUAACUAGACACUAGGUGCCAAAUUGGUGUGUUGGUUGGAUCUGUGUAUCUAUCCGAGUCUGAGUCAUGUUAAUAGGGAAAAUUAAAUAAUAAAUUUAUAUGUUUGAUAUUGAGAUGACCAUGUUGAGAAAUGAAUAUGAGAUGAGAAAAAGAAAUAUGAAAUAAUGAAAUGUGAUGUGAAUCUUGAAAUGAAUUCAAGUAUCAAAAUGAUUAAUCAUGCCAUUGAAUGAGUUGGACUACUAAAUGCUAUAUAUAUGAAAUAUCACUGAUAUGUGCUUGAACAUAUGAAAUAUUAUUACCAUGUGCUAAAUUUUGUGAACUCUAUUGAAUGUGAAUAAAGAAUGAGUAAGUUGGCAUUAUUGAUUUGAUACAUAUGUUUUAUAACAUUACUUAUUGCAUUUUUAUAUCUUAUCUAUCCAUAUCAAGUUUAAAUUAUUCGGAUUAUAGAAAUACCACUAAGUUAUACUCAGUGUGCGGUUUUGUUUUCUGUACGCAAGCUAGGUACUUUUCAACAUAUCGCAGACUCAGCAUCAAACAAUAAAUCCCGAGCUCAAGUGUGGUUAUAUCUUAUUUUGAAAUGGCAUGUACCGAGGAAGUCUUUGGUUGAUAGUUGGUUUGUCAAUGUCAUGUUAUUUUGUUUUAAGGUGAAUUGAUGGUUACUUAUAUAAUUGUGGUUUAAGCUAUGUUUUUGUAUGUAGUCUAAUUAAUGUGUUGGUAUGUGUUGUAGUUUAAAACUUGGUAGCCUAAGUAGUUAAAGGUUAGUUCAAUAUUAGUUAAUUUGAUAUGAAUGAAAGUCUUUGAAUGGUUGAUGUGUUUGAUGAUAUAAAAUGUAGCACCAAUGAGGGUACAUUGGCUAGACACUUAAGGUGGUUUAUUUGGUUUGUUUUAAGCAUGCUUAAUCGUGUUUUGAACAAGUUAAAUGACUGUUAAUUAAGUUUCUUAGUGUCUAAGUAAGUAGGAAAUGGUAAACUUGAGUUUUAAGGUACUUAUAGGUGCAUAUGGCCUAAACACGGUCUGUCACACGAUCGUGUUGAAAAAUAGUAUAGGUGUAGUUUCCACACGGGCUGACACACGGCUUGGGACACGGUUGUGUAACCCAAGUCAGUGAGUUACACAGGCAGAAACACGGGCUGGGACACAACCAUGUGUUUCAAGUUAGUGAGUUACAUGGACUAGGACACAGCCCGUGUCUCAACUUCGAGAGCCACACGGUCUGGGGCAUUUUACACGGCUGUGUGUCCCCUUUUUUAAGUAUUUUCAAAAAUUUCCUAAACUUUCAGAAUUGAUCCAAAUUAGUCCCUACUUAUUUUUAGACUAUUCUUAAGGUCUCGUAGACUCGAUACAAGGACUGUAAGAGUAAUUUUUACUUUGAAUUGGAAUGAAUUAGUAAACCUGAAUUAAGUGCAUUAUACUAAUAUCAUCGAAGGUAAUAAUAGCCGUAAUAUGGACCAAUACUCUGAUGCUAAUAAUUAGAAUUGUCUUAUUAUGUAUCCGACUUCUAGCAUUCAAGAAGGGAUAAAUAGUGAUAAGAGUGUAGACAGUGAAAGACCAAAUUUAGCAUUGCAUAGUAUGAUAUACUAUUCGAUUAUAUAAGACACUACUAUGCAUUUAGAUUGACAUGAUCUACCCUUGUAUAUUAUGGCGACAUUAGUUAGCUUAUACUACUACUUGUGAUGUAACUAAAUGUUUUGAUUGGUUAGUAAUGUAACAUCCCGAAUUAGGGCCUAGUCGGAACAGUGGUUUUGUGACCACAAAUCCGAGAUGAUAAUAAUUAUUUUAUUAUUAUUAUGAGGUCUAUGAUAUGUCUCUAUGCUUGUGUGAAAAUUUCAUGAAGAAAUUUUAUGUGAAAAGUGCUUAAUUAGACUUUAAGGACUAAAUCAAAUAAUUUGUAAAACUCGUGUUCUAGAAGCAAUUUGCAUGAAAUUGAAUUAGAUUAUUAAUUAGAGGUCCUUAAAGAGCAAUUUGACCAAGUUUUAAAAAUUUGGACAAAAAUGGCUUGGAAGGGUAAAAUUUGAAAGAAUGGUAAAAAGGGCAUUUUGGUCAUUUAGGGGUAAAAUGAAUUAAAAGACAAAAAUUAAAAGCCAAAUGUGUCCAUCUUCCUCCUAUGGUAGUGUGAAUCAAGAGGGGAGCCAUGGCUAGGGUUUUCAAGCUUCCAAGCUCAAUAGUAAGUGAUCCUGAGCCCCUUUUUAACGUUCUAUGUAUUUUUAAAUCCCGAUAACAUGCUCUACUCAUUUCUACCAUUAUUUUGAGCUAGGGUUUAUAUUUAAAAAUUUACCCAUGCAUGACAUGCUAGUAUUUUGAUGUUUAAUGGUAGAAUAUGAAAGAUUAGAGUAUAUUUAACACCUUUUACUAAGUGAUUUUUCAUGAAAAAGCCUAAAAAGGACUAAAUUGAAAAAGGUGUAAAAUAGGUAACUAAAAAUCUGUUUUAAUGAGAAAUGUGGGCUGCCAUAAGCUUGACUAUGGUUCGGCUAGGCUUGGGUAAUCAAGAAAUUGAACAUUUUACGAGCCUAGAGACUAAAUUGAAAAUAUGUGAAAAAUUAGAGGUAAAAUUAUAAAUUUUCCAAAAUAUGAUUUUGGGCCAAUUUUAAUAAUGUGAGUCCUAAAUAGGCUAUAAUUGAAAUGAUAGAUAAAGGAAAUCGAGAUUCGGACUUAAAUCGAGAAAAUACAAGUUUUGGACUAAAAUGAUAAUUUUGCCAUUUCCAUAUUCGAGGUAAGUUUGCGUGAUUUAACGAGCAUAUUAUUCAUGUUAUUAUUUUUAUACAUGAAAUAUAUUUUGCUAUGAUUGUAUUGAAUUUGAUAUUAAUGGAAAUUUGAUGAAAAUUGACAUUUUAAAUGAAAUGAAUAAUUUUCUAUGAAAACUAGGUGAUAUGUUAUUUUUAUUGUAUGGAUUAAUGCUCAAAUAAACAUUAAAGUGUGUAUUCAUGCAUGAAUUAUAAUGUUAAUAGUCAUUGUGAAAUAUUACAUGGGAAAGGUUGUACUAAUGAAAAGUUGAUAAAGUGUCCCGGUUGAAUAAAAAGGGAUAUCCGAUGGAUAUAUCAUUUCUUACAUGAUAUGAGAUCCUGCAUGUGUUGCAGUCAAGGAUUUAGACCAGACAGGUAAUUCAUAUAUCUCAGUAUAGAAAGGAUCUAGCCCGGACAGGUGUUCUUUGAAUAAUCGAGCCUCCCGAAGAAUAUGUGUGCAUUAUGGAUUUAGCCCGGACGGGUAAUCUGAUAGAGGACUGAAUUUAGCCUAGAUUGACAAUUCAGAUCCGAGCUUAUGAGAGCAAUUAUCGUUGAAAGGGAUUUUUCCUGGAGUGGUAAUCCCGACAUUGCUCUAUGAAUUUAUUCUACGGGGGAUUUAGCAUGAACUGGUAAUCCCGCAGUAAGAUGUAAGGUUCGCAGGAGUGCGUAUUGAGAUGAUCACUUGUAUGAAUUGACGGUAAAUGGGCUAUCCAUCGAGAUCCCCGAGAGAUUCAAUGGGAUUAACAUGAGAAAUAAAAAUGGUUGUCAUCUAUGCUUAGAUGAAACUAGUAUGAUGCAUAUGAUUGUCAUGUUUGGAUGAGUGGUUGUGCUAAGAGAUAACACAGGUACAUACUCGAAACCCAUGAACAUGUGUUUGACAUGUGAAAUGAAAAGGACUUGUGGUAAGAAUGCAAAUAGAUGAAUGAUAUAUAUGAGAAUAAUAUUUUAUGGCAAUCUUAUGAUGAACAUCAUUUUGUUGCUCUAAAACUAUUUGGACAACAGCAAUAAUCCAACUUUGAAAAUCCACUAAAAAUUGUGGAAGUCGAAUUAAAUUCUGAAUUAAAUAUGAAAUGAAAGCUUAUUGAGUCUAGUUUCACAUAAAAGAAAUGAUAUAAGAAAAAGAAUUUAAUAUUAUGAGAUAUUCGAAUUCUUGUGAGAUAUAGUCAUAAUGAGUUCGAAAUCCCUAUUCUGACUUGGGAAAAUCACUAUAAAUUGUACAAAAAUAAUUAUGGGUUAGAAUUCAUAUGACUAAUUCCUACAGACAUGAACACUAUCCGAAUCUCAUACUAAGAGAUAAUUAAGUUUUAGUGAAGAGAGGUCGGAACUAUCGGAUAGCGAAACAAGGGAGACUUUAAAGAAUAAAUGGUACUUAUUGGAUAGACCAAAAAUUUUGAAAAUUUUAUGAUAAAAAUAUAUGUGAGUCUAGUUUCUAGAAAAAUUAACGGAUCUUAAUUUGGAGUUCCGUAGCUCCAGAUACAAAUGAUUUAGUGACUAUGACUCAAGAAAACAGCUUGACUGGAUUUUAAUAAAUAGAGAGAAAUUGGAAUAGCAUAUUAAUUCCUUGCUUAUUAUUUUCAUGCGAGCUUACUAAGCUUAAAGCUUACUCCCUCCUUUCCAUUUCUUUUAGUGUUUUUAGGUCAGCUUGGGGCUGGAGAACGUUGGAGGCAACAUCACACUAC
RNAcentral lists this long non-coding RNA (9295 nucleotides) under Gossypium barbadense (sea-island cotton). Its description in RNAcentral is "long non-coding RNA (GBAR_LNC000695)". The record is from RNAcentral. Lineage: Eukaryota; Viridiplantae; Streptophyta; Magnoliopsida; Malvales; Malvaceae.